AACGCGAAGAACCUUAUCCUGGGCUUGACAUGUGCGAAAGCGCCAGCAGGUAGGACCCGGAAACGGGAACGAACGGUAUCCAAUCCGGAAGCUGGUACAGGUGCUGCAUGGCUGUCGUCAGCUCGUGUCGUGAGAUGUUGGGUUAAGUCCCGCAACGAGCGCAACCCUCGUCCCAUGUUGCCAGCGGGUAAAGCCGGGGACUCGUGGGAGACUGCCGGGGUCAACUCGGAGGAAGGUGGGGACGACGUCAAGUCAUCAUGCCCCUUAUGUCCAGGGCUGCAAACAUGCUACAAUGGCCGGUACAAAGGGCUGCUAUCCCGCGAGGGUGCGCGAAUCCCAAAAAGCCGGUCUCAGUUCGGAUCGCAGUCUGCAACUCGACUGCGUGAAGUCGGAGUCGCUAGUAAUCCCGGAUCAGCCACGCCGGGGUGAAUACGUUCCCGGGUCUUGUACACACCGCCU
This 459-nucleotide ribosomal RNA is filed under the name uncultured bacterium. RNAcentral's name for it is "bacterial SSU rRNA". It matches the Rfam family "Bacterial small subunit ribosomal RNA", at positions 958 to 1395 of the family's 1533-position model. The record is from RNAcentral.